UGAAGCGAAUAGGGACAAGGCUGGC
This 25-nucleotide non-coding RNA is filed under the name Mus musculus (house mouse). The record is from RNAcentral. Lineage: Eukaryota; Metazoa; Chordata; Mammalia; Rodentia; Muridae.